Molecule: ribosomal RNA, 485 nt
Filed under: uncultured bacterium
Lineage: Bacteria
Description: partial 16S ribosomal RNA
Rfam family: Bacterial small subunit ribosomal RNA
Source: RNAcentral
GAUGAACGCUGGCGGCGUGCUUAACACAUGCAAGUCGAACGGCAAGACUCUUAGUUGUUGCUGUAAUCGAUUGGCGAAGGCGUGCGUAUCACGUGGGUGUUCUGCUCUGCUCUUCCGGGUAAGCCUGCGUAACUGGGUCUACUCUCGGACAGGAUAAUGCUUUCGAUGGCAUUCUGGAAAGCUUUUCGGCUUGGGCUGAGCUCGUGGCCUAUGAGCUAGUUGGUGGGGUAAUGGCUUACCAAGGCGUCGAUGGGUAGCCGGCGUGAGAGGGUGUAGGGGCACACUGGGAGUGAGCCACGGUCCAGACUCCGAGGGGAGGCAGCAGUGGGGAAGAUUGGAAGAUGGGGGGAAGCCUGAACCAGGGACGCCGGGCGGGUGAAGAAGGGCUUCGGGUUGUAUAACGCUUUUGUUGGGGAAGAAAAGUUGCGGGAUAAUCGAAGCGUGUUGUGACGGUACCUAGAGAAUAAGCACCGGCUAACUACGUG